GGGCCCAAAGAUUUCGUUUAUUGAAAUGUAAGCAAAAUGCCGAACAAAGAUAAUAAAUAAAGAACUCGUCGUCUAAGAGACAAACUCGUCGCUGAAUAGUUUCUCUUUAUAUUCUCUCUCUAGUUUCUCCCGGUACUUUUGUGUGUCUUUCUUCAUUGAAUGCUCUUCUAUUUAUAUUCUCCUCGAUCCGCGUUUGGUGCUUUGUGGUUGUUGUGUGUCAGAGAGUCGGUUCGGCGAUCAUCAUUAGCCAUGUUCGUUUUAUAAACUCUGCGACAAGCGUCUGCGUCAAAAAAAUACAGUUAGGGCAGAAGCAAAUUCUUUGGUGUUCUAACUAAAAGCAGCCGCAACUGACAAUUGGAGGCAUGGAAACGGAGUUGCUGCUGCCGCUGCAAUUUUCAGCGUCGUAUUUGCUGGGUUGAACUUGACGCAGCGACUAAAUGGAACAGAUCCGUGUUGUUUUGUUUGUACAGCAUCUGUCGUGGCCAUGACAGUAAUUCUGAGACGCUGCCGCCAAUCUCGGCGUUUAUAAAACGAACAGCACUAUUAUACUAUUGCUUGCGUAGGUUUAUACCUAUGAUCGGUCAUCGGUACAGCCUACGCCUCUAGGCAUCUGUUCCUUGCGUGCGUCGAGGGUUUAUUGAUUCGGUCG
Molecule: long non-coding RNA, 649 nt
Filed under: Brassica napus (rape)
Lineage: Eukaryota; Viridiplantae; Streptophyta; Magnoliopsida; Brassicales; Brassicaceae
Description: long non-coding RNA (BNAP_LNC013869)
Source: RNAcentral